This 198-nucleotide ribosomal RNA is filed under the name uncultured bacterium. RNAcentral's name for it is "partial 16S ribosomal RNA". It matches the Rfam family "Bacterial small subunit ribosomal RNA", at positions 328 to 539 of the family's 1533-position model. The record is from RNAcentral.
ACGCUCGACACCUACGGGAGUCAGCAGUGGGGAAUAUUGCACAAUGGGGGAAACCCUGAUGCAGCGACGCCGCGUGAAGGAAGAAGUAUUUCGGUAUGUAAACUUCUAUCAGCAGGGAAGAAAAUGACGGUACCUGACUAAGAAGCCCCGGCUAACUACGUGCCAGCAGCCGCGGUAAUCUGAGCGGGCUGGCAAGGC